UUAGUGGCGGACGGGUGAGUAACGCGUGGAUAACCUGCCGUAUACAGGGGGAUAACACUUAGAAAUAGGUGCUAAUACCGCAUAAGCGCACGGUUCCGCAUGGAACAGUGUGGAAAACUCCGGUGGUAUACGAUGGAUCCGCGUCUGAUUAGCCAGUUGGUGGGGUAACGGCCCACCAAAGCGACGAUCAGUAGCCGGCCUGAGAGGGUGAACGGCCACAUUGGGACUGAGACACGGCCCAAACUCCUACGGGAGGCAGCAG
RNAcentral lists this ribosomal RNA (262 nucleotides) under uncultured bacterium. RNAcentral's name for it is "partial 16S ribosomal RNA". It matches the Rfam family "Bacterial small subunit ribosomal RNA", at positions 92 to 354 of the family's 1533-position model. The record is from RNAcentral.